GAUGAACGGCUGGCGGCGUGCCUAAUACAUGCAAGUCGAGCGGCAGCGAGUCCUUCGGGAUGUCGGCGAGCGGCGGACGGCUGAGUAACGCGUAGGAACGUACCCCAAACUGAGGGAUAACUGCUCGAAAGAGUAGCUAAUACCGCAUGUGAUCUCCGGAUUAAAGCUUCGGCGGUUUGGGAACGGCCUGCGUACGAUUAGAUUGUUGGUGAGGUAAUGGCUCACCAAGUCGAUGAUCGUUAGCUGGUCUGAGAGGAUGAUCAGCCAGACUGGGACUGAGAACGGCCCAGACUCCUACGGGAGGCAGCAGUAGGGAAUUUUCCACAAUGGGCGAAAGCCUGAUGGAGCAACGCCGCGUGCAGGAUGAAUGCCUUCGGGUUGUAAACUGCUUUUAUAUGUGACGAAUAUGACGGUAGCAUAUGAAUAAGGAUCGGCUAACUCCGUG
Molecule: ribosomal RNA, 445 nt
Filed under: uncultured bacterium
Lineage: Bacteria
Description: bacterial SSU rRNA
Rfam family: Bacterial small subunit ribosomal RNA
Source: RNAcentral